GUGUCAGCCGCCGCGGUAAUACGUAGGCAGCAAGCGUUGUUCGGAAUUACUGGGCGUAAAGAGUGCGUAGGUGGUUGGCUAAGUUUGGUGUGAAAUCUCCCGGCUUAACUGGGAGGGUGCGCCGAAAACUGGUUGACUAGAGUGUGGGAGAGGGACGUGGAAUUCCUGGUGUAGCGGUGAAAUGCGUAGAUAUCAGGAGGAACACCUGCGGUGUAGACGGCGUCCUGGACCAUGACUGACACUGAGGCACGAAAGCGUGGGGAGCAAACAGGAUUAGAUACCCCAGUAGUCC
This 292-nucleotide ribosomal RNA is filed under the name uncultured bacterium. Its description in RNAcentral is "partial 16S ribosomal RNA". It matches the Rfam family "Bacterial small subunit ribosomal RNA", at positions 505 to 796 of the family's 1533-position model. The record is from RNAcentral.